This 432-nucleotide ribosomal RNA is filed under the name uncultured bacterium. RNAcentral describes it as "bacterial SSU rRNA". It matches the Rfam family "Bacterial small subunit ribosomal RNA", at positions 958 to 1392 of the family's 1533-position model. The record is from RNAcentral.
AACGCGAAGAACCUUACCAGGUCUUGACAUCGAGUGACGAGCUUAGAGAUAGGCUCUUCCCUUCGGGGACACAAAGACAGGUGGUGCAUGGUUGUCGUCAGCUCGUGUCGUGAGAUGUUGGGUUAAGUCCCGCAACGAGCGCAACCCUUAUUAUUAGUUGCUACAUUCAGUUGAGCACUCUAAUGAGACUGCCGUUGACAAAACGGAGGAAGGUGGGGAUGAGGUCAAAUCAUCAUGCCCUUUAUGAUCUGGGCUACACACGUACUACAAUGGCAUUUAACAGCGAGGAGCAAAGCGGUGACGCGGAGCAAAUCUCCAAAAGGUGCCUCAGUUCGGAUUGCAGGCUGAAACUCGCCUGCAUGAAGUCGGAAUUGCUAGUAAUCGCGAAUCAGCAUGUCGCGGUGAAUACGUUCCCGGGUCUUGUACACACCG